RNAcentral lists this ribosomal RNA (255 nucleotides) under uncultured bacterium. Its description in RNAcentral is "partial 16S ribosomal RNA". It matches the Rfam family "Bacterial small subunit ribosomal RNA", at positions 524 to 776 of the family's 1533-position model. The record is from RNAcentral.
UACGUAGGGGGCAAGCGUUGUCCGGAAUUAUUGGGCGUAAAGAGCGCGUAGGCGGUCCGAUAAGUCGGCUGUGAAAGUCAGGGGCUCAACCCUUGAAAGCCGGCCGAUACUGUCGGACUAGAGUCCGGAAGAGGCAAGUGGAAUUCCCGGUGUAGCGGUGAAAUGCGCAGGAUAGUCGGGAGGAACACCAAUGGCGAAGGCAGCUUGCUGGGACGGUACUGACGCUGAGGCGCGAAAGCGUGGGGAGCAAACAGG